GCUCAGCAAGGCGAUGGUUGUCCUUGUUCAAGCGUGUAGAAAUGGUUCUUAGGAAAAUCCGGGAACCUCUAUUUCAAGGCGUGAUAACGAUCCCUCUUUUGGGAGAAGUGAGUAAUACCAUGCUUCCAGGAAAAUCCUCUAAGCUAUAGGUUAUAUGAAAUCGUACCCCAAACCGACACAGGUGGACGAGAUGAGAAUUCUAAGGCGCUUGAGAGAACUCGGGUGAAGGAACUAGGCAAAAUGACACCGUAACUUCGGGAGAAGGUGUACUCUUGUUAUGUGAAAUCACUUGCUGAUAGAGCAGAAAAGAGUUGAAAAUACUAGGUGGCUGCGACUGUUUAUUAAAAACACAGCACUCUGCAAACACGUAAGUGGACGUAUAGGGUGUGACUCCUGCCCGGUGCUUGAAGGUUAAUUGAUGAGGUUAGCGCUUGCGCGAAGCUUUUGAUCGAAGCCCAAGUAAACGGCGGCCGUAACUAUAACGGUCCUAAGGUAGCGAAAUUCCUUGUCGGGUAAGUUCCGACCUGCACGAAUGGAGUAACGACGGCCACACUGUCUCCACCCGAGACUCAGUGAAAUUGAAAUUGCUGUUAAGAUGCAGUAUACCCGCGGCCAGACGGAAAGACCCCGUGCACCUUUACUACAGCUUUGCAUUGAACUCUGAUCCUACCUGUGUAGGAUAGGUGGGAGGCUUUGAAGCUUUAACGCUAGUUAGAGUGGAGCCACCCUUGAAAUACCACCCUGGUAUGGUUGGGGUUCUAACCUUGGUCCGUAAUCCGGAUUGGGAACAAUGCAUGGUGGGUAGUUUGACUGGGGCGGUCUCCUCCUAAAGAGUAACGGAGGAGCGCAAAGGUAUCCUCAGCACGGUCGGACAUCGUGCAAUGAGCGCAAAGGUAAAAGGAUGCUUGACUGCGAGACUGACACGUCGAGCAGGUAGGAAACUAGGUCUUAGUGAUCCGGUGGUUCUGAGUGGAAGGGCCAUCGCUCAACGGAUAAAAGGUACGCCGGGGAUAACAGGCUAAUACCCCCCAAGAGUUCACAUCGACGGGGGUGUUUGGCACCUCGAUGUCGGCUCAUCACAUCCUGGGACUGAAGCAGGCCCCAAGGGUAUGGCUGUUCGCCAUUUAAAGUGGUACGCGAGCUGGGUUUAGAACGUCGUGAGACAGUUCGGUCCCUAUCUGCCGUGCGCGUUGGAAAAUUGAGAAGAGUUGCUCCUAGUACGAGAGGACCGGAGUGAACGAACCCCUGGUGUUCGGGUUGUCAUGCCAAUGGCAUUGCCCGGUAGCUAUGUUCGGACGGGAUAACCGCUGAAAGCAUCUAAGCAGGAAGCCUCCUUCCGGCCUCUUAUACACAUCUCCGAGCCCACGAGACUAGGCAUGACUUCGUAUGCCGUCUUCUGCUUCAAAAACAAA
RNAcentral lists this ribosomal RNA (1412 nucleotides) under marine metagenome. RNAcentral describes it as "bacterial LSU rRNA". It matches the Rfam family "Bacterial large subunit ribosomal RNA", at positions 1485 to 2925 of the family's 2925-position model. The record is from RNAcentral.